CUUUGAUCUGGACAAACCCAACUGCCUUUAUUGUUGCACAGCCUUCUGUGUCAUCAGUGGAGGAAGUGUUUCCCUGUACUCUAAACUCACCUUCUAUCAUGACCUGUUUGGGGUGUUUAGAUCAUUGCAGGUAAACACUGAGCUCGUUGCCUGAGCCAAAUAGCCCUGGUGCCAUAACAGCAACCUCACAACACCGUAGCAACAAACACCUAUUACACUUGUUACCUGUCAGGAGCUACUUUGUGCACUUCGAAUGGAUUAUUACCUUAUUGAAUCCCACAACAACCUUAGGAGGGUGAAGAGGAAGACAUUGGUCAAGUUGAGUAGCUCCCAGGAGACACAUCAGUUUCAAAUCACAGCCACAGCAGACACCAUCUUAUUGGCUUGAUGACUCUUCAUAGACACAUGGAAGACAUAAGUCAUAGAAAGUAAAUCUGAGUGAAAAAUAGGAGAAAACAUAUGUGCAGAAGAAGAAAUAAACUGAGAAACAUUCAUUUAAAGAUAUGUCAUUGAAAAGUUUCAAGCGUUGUUGAAAAAAACACAUAUUCUUUAGUCAUU
RNAcentral lists this long non-coding RNA (558 nucleotides) under Zalophus californianus (California sea lion). Its description in RNAcentral is "lncRNA (ENSZCAG00015014568.1)". The record is from RNAcentral. Lineage: Eukaryota; Metazoa; Chordata; Mammalia; Carnivora; Otariidae.